This 773-nucleotide ribosomal RNA is filed under the name uncultured Neocallimastigales. RNAcentral describes it as "partial large subunit ribosomal RNA". It matches the Rfam family "Eukaryotic large subunit ribosomal RNA", at positions 24 to 649 of the family's 3401-position model. The record is from RNAcentral. Lineage: Eukaryota; Fungi; Neocallimastigomycota; Neocallimastigomycetes; Neocallimastigales.
UAGUCUCGCACAGAUGCAUAUCAAUAAGCGGAGGAAAAGAAACUAACAAGGAUUCCCCUAGUAACGGCGAGUGAAGCGGGAAGAGCUCAAAUUUGAAAUCUUAAAGGGUUUCCCUUUACGAAUUGUAGUUUAAAGAAGUGUUUUCUGUUGAGGUUUUGGUAAAAGUUCUUUGGAAUAGGACAUCAUAGAGGGUGAGAAUCCCGUAUUUGACCUUUACUUUCAACUUUGUGAUACACUUUCAAAGAGUCGGAUUGUUUGGGAAUGCAGUCCAAAAUGGGUGGUAAAUUUCAUCUAAAGCUAAAUAUUGGCGAGAGACCGAUAGCGAACAAGUACCGUGAGGGAAAGAUGAAAAGAACUUUGAAAAGAGAGUUAAACAGUACGUGAAAUUGUCAAAAGGGAAGCGUUUGACACCAGUGUUGUUUUUCUGAAAAUCAAUUAAAGAACUGUUUAUGCUAAGCUGUUUAGACUUUAUCAGCUAUCUGUUUAGUUUUGAGCUUUUCUUUAAUGCACUUUUCAGUUAACAAGUCAACAUCAAUUUCUUUUGCUGUAAAAAAGCUUGAGGAAGGUGGCUUGAGAUUCGUCUUAAGUGUUUAUAGCCUCUUGCCUAUGCAGUCGGAGAGAUUGAGGUCUGCAGCGUAGAUCCUUCGGGGCUAAAUGCAUUUGUGCUAAGUUAUAGCAUUUUAUAGACAACUUGUUGACUAUGAUUUGUCUUGUAGCUUACUCGCUUAUGUUAUUUUACCUACGCUUAGGAUGUUGAGUAGCGACAUACGCAC